AUUGAACGCUGGCGGCAUGCCUUACACAUGCAAGUCGAACGGCAGCACGGGUGCUUGCACCUGGUGGCGAGUGGCGAACGGGUGAGUAAUACAUCGGAACAUGUCCUGUAGUGGGGGACAGCCCGGCGAAAGCCGGAUUAAUACCGCAUACGAUCCACGGAUGAAAGCGGGGGACCUUCGGGCCUCGCGCUAUAGGGUUGGCCGAUGGCUGAUUAGCUAGUUGGUGGGGUAAAGGCCUACCAAGGCGACGAUCAGUAGCUGGUCUGAGAGGACGACCAGCCACACUGGGACUGAGACACGGCCCAGACUCCUACGGGAGGCAGCAGUGGGGAAUUUUGGACAAUGGGCGAAAGCCUGAUCCAGCAAUGCCGCGUGUGUGAAGAAGGCCUUCGGGUUGUAAAGCACUUUUGUCCGGAAAGAAAUCCUUGACUCUAAUACAGUCGGGGGAUGACGGUACCGGAAGAAUAAGCACCGGCUAACUACGUG
RNAcentral lists this ribosomal RNA (486 nucleotides) under uncultured bacterium. Its description in RNAcentral is "partial 16S ribosomal RNA". It matches the Rfam family "Bacterial small subunit ribosomal RNA", at positions 30 to 507 of the family's 1533-position model. The record is from RNAcentral.